RNAcentral lists this ribosomal RNA (455 nucleotides) under uncultured bacterium. Its description in RNAcentral is "bacterial SSU rRNA". It matches the Rfam family "Bacterial small subunit ribosomal RNA", at positions 340 to 786 of the family's 1533-position model. The record is from RNAcentral.
UACGGAAGGCAGCAGUGGGGAAUAUUGCACAAUGGGCGAAAGCCUGAUGCAGCUAUGCCGCGUGUAUGAAGAAGGCCUUAGGGUUGUAAAGUACUUUCAUCGGGGAGGAAAAAACAAAACUAAUAAUUUUAUUUCUUGACGUUACCCGAAAAAGAAGCACCGGCUAACUCCGUGCCAGCAGCCGCGGUAAUACGGAGGGUGCUAGCGUUAAUCAGAAUUACUGGGCGUAAAGAGCACGUAGGUGGUUUUUUAAGUCAGAUGUGAAAUCCCUGGGCUUAACCUAGGAACUGCAUUUUGAAACUGAAAUACUAGAGUAUCGUAGAGGGAGGUAGAAUUCUAGGUGUAGCGGUGAAAUGCGUAGAUAUCUGGAGGAUACCUGUGGCGAAAGCGGCCUCCUAAACGAAUACUGACACUGAGGUGCGAAAGCGUGGGGAGCGAAACAGGGAUUAGAUACC